AUGGCGGCGCUUCGAGUAGCGGCGAGGAGGCUCGCCGGCGGUGGCCAGACGCCGGCGGUGGCUGUGGAGAAGGCGCAACGCCGGUUCUUCCCGAGGCUCUCCCAGGUCAACCGGGCUAUGUCCACCACGUCCUCCGCUGCUGCUGCCGCAGACACCAAUGGCUGUGAAGAUCGGGAGAAACUCCUGACAGAGAUCCAUAACAUGACAGAGGAGCUGUACGACAAGGUUUCGCAUGCGCAAAGGUUCUACAAUAUCCCUGGUAGGGAAGGCAAAAAUAUCAGUCGGCUGCACGAGGAGCUUGCCACGCAAGUGGGGCCUAGACCCGGCGAUGACUCCUGGCGCAUGUUACGAUUGAUGCAUACAUUAACGUAUUACGGUGGAUUUGCGUCUUUUAUAUUCACCACAUAUGUGCUCACGAGCAUGGCCAUUGGUUCGAUCGUUGAAUUGGAGCCAGAUGAAAAGCAAUGGAUCAAGAAGAAAAGAGGGGAGGCACGCAAGCAAGUGAAACAAAAUGAUUGA
This 519-nucleotide ribosomal RNA is filed under the name Triticum aestivum (bread wheat). RNAcentral describes it as "partial small subunit ribosomal RNA". The record is from RNAcentral. Lineage: Eukaryota; Viridiplantae; Streptophyta; Magnoliopsida; Poales; Poaceae.